CCUACGGGUGGCAGCAGUGAGGAAUAUUGGUCACUGGACGCAAGUCUGAACCAGCCAUGCCGCGUGCAGGAUGACGGCUCUCUGAGUUGUAAACUGCUUUUGUACGGGGGUAAACCCCGAUACGUGUAUCGGGUUGCAAGUAUCGUACGAAUACGGAUCGGCUAACUCCGUGCCAGCAGCCGCGGUAAUCCGGAGGAUCCGAGCGUUAUCCGGAUUUAUUGGGGUUAAAGGGUGCGUAGGCGGUUUGAUAAGUUAGAGGUGAAAUUUCGGGGCUCAACCCCGAAACUGCCUUUAAUACUGUGGGACUAGAGAAUAGUUGCGGUAGGCGGAAUGUAUGGGGUAGCGGUGAAAUGCGUAGAGAUCAUACAGAACACCGAGUGCGAAGGCAGCUUACCAAACUAUAUCUGACGUUGAGGCACGAAAGCGUGGGUAGCAAACAGGAUUAGAUACCCCUGUAGGC
RNAcentral lists this ribosomal RNA (460 nucleotides) under uncultured bacterium. Its description in RNAcentral is "partial 16S ribosomal RNA". It matches the Rfam family "Bacterial small subunit ribosomal RNA", at positions 338 to 795 of the family's 1533-position model. The record is from RNAcentral.